Molecule: long non-coding RNA, 563 nt
Filed under: Cricetulus griseus (Chinese hamster)
Lineage: Eukaryota; Metazoa; Chordata; Mammalia; Rodentia; Cricetidae
Description: lncRNA (ENSCGRG00015039424.1)
Source: RNAcentral
AAUUGACAUUUCAUGGCCAUUUGCUAUUUUUAAGAUCCUACUAAUUAUUCCUUUUAUCCAAACAACAACCUCUUAAAGGGCUUUUAUUAUUAACUUAGUUUUAUAGAUUUUAAGAAUGAAAGCUUAGAGAGAUGACUUUGUCUGCCCAGAUAGCCCAUAAAUGUCAAAGGACAGGAAAACAGUCUUAAAACUCUGUUCUUAGCUAUCAUACCUUUGUAAGGUCUGCUUCAGCAGGAAGUGUUGUAGUCACACAACUAGAAUAAACUUCAGAAACUUAAUGUCUACUUGCAGGUUGCUUACCUCACAGAGGCUAUGCCAGGGCACGGCACGAACCACUCACAGAUGUUUUUGCUUGAAGCUGUUACAUAUCUCCUUGGAAAUUUGCUUCAUAAUCCUAACAAGAAGUUGUACCCGUCAGCACCUGCUGAGGGCUUUGUUGUCCCAACUCUGACAGGGCACCACUUUCAGAUAAAACAUAGACCUGAAUGGCAUCAUCCAGUAUCCAAGGAAACCAUGUAAGUACCUCUCUCACUGUGUACUUCUCUUAUUCAGAGUUUAAAAGC